Molecule: ribosomal RNA, 756 nt
Filed under: uncultured bacterium
Lineage: Bacteria
Description: bacterial SSU rRNA
Rfam family: Bacterial small subunit ribosomal RNA
Source: RNAcentral
CGACGAUUAACUUUUCUUCGGAAAGAUAUAAAGUGGCGUACGGGUGAGUAACACGUAGGUAAUGUACCUUUGGGUGGGGAAUAACUUAGGGAAACUUAAGCUAAUACCGCAUAAUGCAGCGGCUCGACAUCGAGACAGUUGUUAAAGGAGUAAUCCGCCUGAAGAGCAGCCUGCGGCAGAUUAGCUUGUUGGUAAGGUAAUGGCUUACCAAGGCUACGAUCUGUAACCGACCUGAGAGGGUGGUCGGUCACACUGACACUGAAUAACGGGUCAGACUCCUACGGGAGGCAGCAGUCGGGAAUUUUGGGCAAUGGGCGAAAGCCUGACCCAGCAACGCCGCGUGAAGGAUGAAGUCUUUCGGGAUGUAAACUUCGUAAGAAUAGGAAGAAUAAAUGACGGUACUAUUUGUAAGGUCCGGCUAACUACGUGCCAGCAGCCGCGGUAAUACGUAGGGACCAAGCGUUGUUCGGAUUUACUGGGCGUAAAGGGCGCGUAGGCGGCGUGGUAAGUCACUUGUGAAAUCUCCGAGCUUAACUCGGAACGGUCAAGUGAUACUGCUGUGCUAGAGUACAGAAGGGGCAAUCGGAAUUCUUGGUGUAGCGGUGAAAUGCGUAGAUAUCAAGAGGAACACCUGAGGUGAAGACGGGUUGCUGGGCUGAUACUGACGCUGAGGCGCGAAAGCUAGGGUAGCAAACGGGAUUAGAUACCCCGGUAGUCCUAGCCCUAAACGAUGAAUGCUUGGUGUCUGGAGUGUUA